AGGUAGCGAAAUUCCUUGUCGGGUAAGUUCCGACCUGCACGAAUGGCGUAACGAUGGCCACACUGUCUCCUCCUGAGACUCAGCGAAGUUGAAAUGUUUGUGAUGAUGCAAUCUCCCCGCGGAUAGACGGAAAGACCCCAUGAACCUUUACUGUAGCUUUGUAUUGGACUUUGAACAGAUCUGUGUAGGAUAGGUGGGAGGCUUUGAAGUGGCGACGCCAGUUGCUACGGAGCCGCUGUUGAAAUACCACCCUGGUGUGUUUGAGGUUCUAACCUUCGCCCUUGAAUCAGGGCGGGGAACAGUGCAUGGUAGGCAGUUUGACUGGGGCGGUCUCCUCCCAAAGCGUAACGGAGGAGUUCGAAGGUACGCUAGUUACGGUCGGACAUCGUGACGAUAGUGCAAUGGCGCAAGCGUGCUUAACUGCGAGACUGACAAGUCGAGCAGGUGCGAAAGCAGGACAUAGUGAUCCGGUGGUUCUGUAUGGAAGGGCCAUCGCUCAACGGAUAAAAGGUACUCCGGGGAUAACAGGCUGAUUCCGCCCAAGAGUUCAUAUCGACGGCGGAGUUUGGCACCUCGAUGUCGGCUCAUCACAUCCUGGGGCUGUAGUCGGUCCCAAGGGUAUGGCUGUUCGCCAUUUAAAGUGGUACGUGAGCUGGGUUUAAAACGUCGUGAGACAGUUUGGUCCCUAUCUGCAGUGGGCGUUGGAAGUUUGACGGGGGCUGCUCCUAGUACGAGAGGACCGGAGUGGACGAACCUCUGGUGUACCGGUUGUAACGCCAGUUGCAUAGCCGGGUAGCUAAGUUCGGAAGAGAUAAGCGCUGAAAGCAUCUAAGCGCGAAACUCGCCUGAAGAUGAGACUUCCCUUGUGGUUUAACCACACUAAAGAGUCGUUCGAGACCAGGACGUUGAUAGGUGGGGUGUGGAAGCGCGGUAACGCGUGAAGCUAACCCAUACUAAUUGCUCGUGAGGCUUGACUCU
Molecule: ribosomal RNA, 978 nt
Filed under: human oral metagenome
Description: bacterial LSU rRNA
Rfam family: Bacterial large subunit ribosomal RNA
Source: RNAcentral